Molecule: long non-coding RNA, 391 nt
Filed under: Chrysolophus pictus (golden pheasant)
Lineage: Eukaryota; Metazoa; Chordata; Aves; Galliformes; Phasianidae
Description: lncRNA (ENSCPIG00010011367.1)
Source: RNAcentral
UGCUGCUUGUAGAUCGAAAGACUGCACCUUCAGCACAGCAGGACUGGGGUGCCAUCCCUGUUCCCAAAGGCAUGACAGGAAGGUUGACUCAUAUUCAUAUGCUUGGUGCCAGCCCCCAUUAGAGCAGACUGAAACAGGAGUGCACUCAUCUGGGAUCCAGAAGAGCCCCACUUGCUAUGCAGUACUGUCAUAGUCAAAGAGUAUAUUCGUAGUCAACAAAUGAUGACAAACUGGAAGUCUCCAGAAAAUACGCAGCUGCAUUUGAACUCUGAUACAGGACUGUUAUACUGUCUCAUUCAUGCAAAACUGAAUAAGGACCAGUGGUUAUCUCACAGUAUUUACCCUGCAGAACAAUAAAGCUACAACAGGACAAGAGAAAUUUUAAAGGGAC